This 371-nucleotide long non-coding RNA is filed under the name Ananas comosus (pineapple). Its description in RNAcentral is "long non-coding RNA (ACOM_LNC007781)". Lineage: Eukaryota; Viridiplantae; Streptophyta; Magnoliopsida; Poales; Bromeliaceae. The record is from RNAcentral.
UAAUUUUUUUUAUUAGUUCAAUCUAUUUUUUUCAAUCAUUAUAAAAAUUUAAAAUAUAUAAUUUUUUAUACAUAAUUUUUAAAUAGUUGGAUUACAUAUAUUAAACGUAAAUUUUAAUUUUAUAAUAAUAUUAAUUAUUUAGAUAUAAAUUGUAAAAUAAAAAAAAAAAGAGAUAGAUCGAGUUUAAGUUAGGGGCAAUUUCAUGGAUACCCCUCCCAAAGUCUUAAAUAUCAUAGAUAUCCUUAUAAAGUUUAAAAUAUCACCUAUAGCCUGCAGAAAAUUAUCAUCAAUACCUUUACUGUUAGUUAUGUUAGCUUUACCAUAGUUAUUAAAAGGUUAAAGCUGGGUUAAAUUUUAAAAUGACUUAUUUA